AUGAACUGGUUGCGAAACUAUUUCACACCCCUGACCCUUUUGUGUAGCGUCCGCCACGCCGGCGCCACAUCCUACGGUGCAGCGCCUAGCUCCGGGGCGUUGCACCACUGUCCACCGUGGCAGCCCACGGGCCCGCACCCAGCAGUGCAACGCCUCCGAGCUAGGCGCUGCACCUGUACAGUGCAGCGCCUGCGGGCUAGGCGUUGCACGUGUAAUGUGCAGCGCCUAGCGGCUAGGCGCUGCACUGUGACUUAUAUGCAAACGCGCCAGCCCUCUCCUCCCCCACCCUCCCCAUUGGCAGUUACAGAAAAAAGGGCGGCGGCCAUCUGCACUCCCCCUCUCAAUCCCCUCUCCCAAAUCUUUCCGAUCCGACGAUUUGGUCCGUGCAUUUGUUCACCAAUCCAUCGUGGAAGGAUGGUUUGGCUUCUCGAUGAUCACUGGGACCAUCAACACCGGCCGUACGCUAUGUCGGUGCAGCAGCGGGAGCUUGCACCUCUGAAGCUUCGGUCUCACGGGAUCAGCCUUGGAGGGAUGAGCUAUGAUGAGCGGUACACACCUUAUGUUAGGGAGGCAGGACUUCUCCCUUUCAUUGAGUUGGUCCGCCGGUCGACGCCACCCAACAAUGCUGCAGCACUCACCGCGCUUAUUGAUCAUUGGAGGCCGGAGACACACACUUUCCAUCUUAGGACCGGGGAGAUGACCGUGACGCUGCAGGAUAUCGCUAUGAUCACGGGUCUUCCUAUCGAUGGCAAUCCUUUAUGUAUGAACACCGAUUCUGAAGGGUGGCGCGCGCAGAUGCAAGCCCUUAUCGGUAUGGUUCCUCCGGAGCCUCGGGAGCCAGAAAGGGAAGAUAAGAAGAAGGAAAGACUCGCAGCGGGCACUACUUUCACGUGGAUAUCAUCGCACUUCGCUCAUUGCCCCGAUGAUGCUAAUGAGGACAUGGUGAAGACUUAUGCUCGUGUCUACAUGUGGUACGUGGUAUCGAGGACAAUGUUUGCUGAUGGCACAGGCAAGAAUGCUCCAUGGAUGUGGCUGAAGGCGUUGACCGUCUUCGAUAGCAAAUGGAGUUGGGGUUCGGCGACACUAGCUUACUUGUAUCGACAGUUGGACGAUGCCAGUUAUAGGCACACUGGAGGUAUUGGUGGUUGUCUGCUCGCACUUUCCAUAUGGAGCUGGGAGCGUCUGCCGGUUGGACAACCUAAGACCGUGAAGUACGAGGAUUGGGACGAUAAAGACGACCCACUACGGCUCCCCACUUGGGCUUACAAGUGGGAUGUGUUAAAUGAGACGACGGAUGAUCCCUCUGUAAUGUACAAGUUGUACAAGAGCGAGCUGGACGCGAUCACGCCUGAGCAGGUGAACCGACCUUGCAUAAGUGAUUAUCAUGCUUGUAUCUUCACUCGAUAUCAAUUUUGCAUUCAAUCCCAUUUUGCAGGUGGAAUGGGAGCCGUAUGGAAAAGGAGAGAGUUUUGGUAA
Molecule: ribosomal RNA, 1476 nt
Filed under: Triticum aestivum (bread wheat)
Lineage: Eukaryota; Viridiplantae; Streptophyta; Magnoliopsida; Poales; Poaceae
Description: partial small subunit ribosomal RNA
Source: RNAcentral